AGCGAACGCUGGCGGCGUGCCUAACACAUGCAAGUCGAACGUGAAAGUUCUUCGGAAUGAGUAAAGUGGCGUACGGGUGAGUAACACGUAGGUAAUCUACCUUAAAGUUUGGAAUAACCUGCCGAAAGGCGGGCUAAUACUGGAUAGAGCGAGGAACUCGUAAUAGGGUUUUUCGGGAAAGGGAGCCUGUAAGGGCCCUUGCUCUAAGAUGAGCCUGCGUCCCAUCAGCUGGUUGGUAAGGUAAUGGCUUACCAAGGCAAUGACGGGUAGCUGGUCUGAGAGGAUGAUCAGCCACACUGGAACUGAAACACGGUCCAGACUCCUACGGGAGGCAGCAGUGGGGAAUCUUGCGCAAUGGACGAAAGUCUGACGCAGCCACGCCGCGUGAGUGAAGAAGGCCUUCGGUUUGUAAAGCUCUGUCGGAAGGGACGAAAAUGCAGUGAGUGAAUAGCUCAUUGAACUGACGGUACCUUUAAAGGAAGCACCGGCUAACCCCGUGCCAGCAGCCGCAGUAA
RNAcentral lists this ribosomal RNA (515 nucleotides) under uncultured bacterium. RNAcentral describes it as "partial 16S ribosomal RNA". It matches the Rfam family "Bacterial small subunit ribosomal RNA", at positions 29 to 523 of the family's 1533-position model. The record is from RNAcentral.